RNAcentral lists this long non-coding RNA (317 nucleotides) under Salvia miltiorrhiza (redroot sage). RNAcentral describes it as "long non-coding RNA (SMIL_LNC001370)". The record is from RNAcentral. Lineage: Eukaryota; Viridiplantae; Streptophyta; Magnoliopsida; Lamiales; Lamiaceae.
GUUAAUAAGUUAAAAAAUUAAGAGCAACUAAAUAAAAAAUAUAAAAUAUGAAGGAAUAGCAAAAAUGGUUAGAAUAAUUUCAUACGUUAGUUACAUUCUCUGAUUAUUUUAUAAAAGUACAAGUUAAUGAAAAAAUAAUAACAAUUGUGAAAUUAAUGUAAAAAUUAAAAAAAUACAAAUAAAUGACUAUAAUAUAAUCAUACGUUGAGCACAUCGAUUGAUAACUACUAAAAAUACACUACAGGAAAAUAUAUCAUAAUAAAUUAGUGAACUUAAAAAAUAAAAAAUAAAAACAUAAAAAAAUUACUAUAAUAGCA